UACAGAGGGCGCGAGCGUUGUCCGGAAUCACUGGGCGUAAAGGGUGCGUAGGCGGGUCUUUAAGUCAGGGGUGAAAUCCUGGAGCUCAACUCCAGAACUGCCUUUGAUACUGGCGACCUUGAGUCCGGGAGAGGUGAGUGGAACUGCGAGUGUAGAGGUGAAAUUCGUAGAUAUUCGCAAGAACACCAGUGGCGAAGGCGGCUCACUGGCCCGAUACUGACGCUGAGGCACGAAAGCGUGGGGAGCAAACAGG
Molecule: ribosomal RNA, 253 nt
Filed under: uncultured bacterium
Lineage: Bacteria
Description: partial 16S ribosomal RNA
Rfam family: Bacterial small subunit ribosomal RNA
Source: RNAcentral